GCUCUUCUCUGAACUUUUUCAAUUUGUAAAUUUUGUUGUUUUUGAUGUGGGUCCCAAAUUGUUGAGCAGUACUCUAAUUUUGGUCGGACAAGAGCUUUAUAUGCAUGAGCUUUAACUUUUGGUGAUGCUAUUUUUAGGUUUCUACGAAUAAAUCCAAGGGACUGGUUUGCUUUUGAUGUCAUGUUAUCUAUAUGUUUGUCCCAUUUUAAAUUUGAUUGAAGAGUUAGGCCUAAAUAUUUUGUAGAGUCAACUUUUUCUAAAGAGUGAUUGUGUAAUUUAUAGGUAAA
RNAcentral lists this long non-coding RNA (287 nucleotides) under Mytilus galloprovincialis (Mediterranean mussel). Lineage: Eukaryota; Metazoa; Mollusca; Bivalvia; Mytilida; Mytilidae. The record is from RNAcentral.